Molecule: unclassified non-coding RNA, 421 nt
Filed under: Hevea brasiliensis (rubber tree)
Lineage: Eukaryota; Viridiplantae; Streptophyta; Magnoliopsida; Malpighiales; Euphorbiaceae
Source: RNAcentral
GUUUCUGAGAAGCAGAAGAUUUGGGCGAGGAAUGCGGGAAGACGGGGUAUCGUUGUCUUCAUCGUCAGCAAAGCUGAGAAGCCUCCUGGGUUUGGACGAAAAUUAAGAGGCAGAAGGUUUACGUGAGGAGCGGAAGAAGGGGCGGAGUUGUGAACGUUGGAGCUAGUGUCAUUAUUGUCGUCAUAGUCAUCGCAUCGACGGCGGAAGUUUCCGGAUUUGAUAGAACUGCCCAUGGUGCUUGUGCGCCUAGAGAAUGCUUUCCUAUCUGGUUAUCUGUUGGUAUUUGAGAAAACAAGUUAUAGCUUGCAGUCCCAUACUCAGACAACAACCAGUCGGUUGAUAGUUGUUACUCAAAUCCCUCCAUUCCAACUCUCCCCUCAAUUUUUUGGUUCUUACCAGUGGCGGAGGUAGGGGGGCUAGG